AGCCAUGCAUGUCUAAGUAUAAGCAAUUAUACAGCGAAACUGCGAAUGGCUCAUUAUAUAAGUUAUCGUUUAUUUGAUAGUACCUUACUACUUGGAUAACCGUGGUAAUUCUAGAGCUAAUACAUGCUAAAAAUCCCGACUUCGGAAGGGAUGUAUUUAUUAGAUUCAAAACCAAUGCCCUCUGGGCUCCUUGGUGAUUCAUAAUAACUUUUCGAAUCGCAUGGCCUUGCGCCGGCGAUGGUUCAUUCAAAUUUCUUCCCUAUCAACUUUCGAUGUUUGGGUAUUGGCCAAACAUGGUCGCAACGGGUAACGGAGGGUUAGGGCUCGACCCCGGAGAAGGAGCCUGAGAAACGGCUACUACAUCCAAGGAAGGCAGCAGGCGCGCAAAUUACCCAAUCCCGAUACGGGGAGGUAGUGACAAUAAAUACUGAUACAGGGCUCUUUUGGGUCUUGUAAUUGGAAUGAGUACAAUUUAAAUCCCUUAACGAGGAACAAUUGGAGGGCAAGUCUGGUGCCAGCAGCCGCGGUAAUUCCAGCUCCAAUAGCGUAUAUUAAAGUUGUUGUGGUUAAAAAGCUCGUAGUUGAACCUUGGGCCUGGCUGGCCGGUCCGCCUCACCGCGUGUACUGGUCCGGCCGGGCCUUUCCCUCUGUGGAACCUCAUGCCCUUCACUGGGUGUGGCGGGGAAACAGGACUUUUACUUUGAAAAAAUUAGAGUGCUCCAGGCAGGCCUAUGCUCGAAUACAUUAGCAUGGAAUAAUGAAAUAGGACGUGUGGUUCUAUUUUGUUGGUUUCUAGGACCGCCGUAAUGAUUAAUAGGGACAGUCGGGGGCAUCAGUAUUCAAUUGUCAGAGGUGAAAUUCUUGGAUUUAUUGAAGACUAACUACUGCGAAAGCAUUUGCCAAGGAUGUUUUCAUUAAUCAG
This 922-nucleotide ribosomal RNA is filed under the name Samsoniella kunmingensis. RNAcentral describes it as "SSU rRNA". It matches the Rfam family "Eukaryotic small subunit ribosomal RNA", at positions 47 to 980 of the family's 1831-position model. The record is from RNAcentral. Lineage: Eukaryota; Fungi; Ascomycota; Sordariomycetes; Hypocreales; Cordycipitaceae.